Molecule: long non-coding RNA, 1179 nt
Organism: Alexandromys fortis (reed vole)
Lineage: Eukaryota; Metazoa; Chordata; Mammalia; Rodentia; Cricetidae
Exons: 3
Source: RefSeq, a predicted model, not a curated record
UGUCCUCUGGGACACUGACAGAGACGCUUCUGGAAGUAUAAAUACACGUACUAUUAUCAUGAGCUGUUGCCGCAGCUCUCCAGAGCUAAUUUAUAGAAAUGUGAUCUACCAGCAGAGAGGGAAGGGGGCAUAAAUGAAUUACCAGCCAGUUUCCUCUCCUUUCAACUCCGUGGGGGAAGGCCGCCGGCCAGAAGGAAAAAGCAUCAUAGUGCCAGACCGGUGGGGACCAGGAACAGUGCCGAGACUCUGGUCAGGAAUGCAGCGAGGCUCUUCUUCGAACAGCCUGGGCACGCAGGUGUCAGAGAUACGUGCGGAUUUGGCCUGCUAUAAAUGAGGACCCUACAGGGCCCGCUGCUAACAUUGCAAUAGGAACACGAAGCAGGCUGUUUGCAGAUGGAAAACGUCAGGACGCACGGCUGACACGCCUCCUCACGGGGUGGCGUUGGAGUCCUGAGAUCCAAUCACGCCCCACACUAAACGUGCUAUUUCUGUACUUUUUAAUACAACGGUAUUUGGGGAAAGGAGGGAAAAUAAACGGGGCGCGGUUGCAGUCUAGUCACGUGAGUGACUAAUUAGAGGACCCCUGUUCUCCCAGGACAUUGGGCUACAUUAAUUCAAAGUGUGACUUGUUUGUUUUGUAGGGUCAAGGAGACGCUUUACCUCCUAGAAAGCCAAAGUGGCAAUUAGAUUAGUCACCAGAGUUUGCCCGAGGUAACGCAUGAAAAAGGGCUUUGUAAAUUACAUAAAAUAGAAGUGUCCCCGUUGAGGCUGUCCCCGCUGCCCCCAAUUAGGGGGCAUAAUAGUUUGUUCCUGGUGGGAGGCAGAGAUGAGCCCUGAUCUAGUUAAGGGAGCACCUGGCCGAGCACAAAGAACACAGGAGAAGGGACCGUAACUGCGAAUCCCGACUGCACCAAAGCGGAUCUCUUAUCUCUGCGAAUCUGCAAGGCUGGGCCCGUGUGGCUCAGUGCGCAUGCGCCCGUGUCAUAUGUGGGACUAGCUGGAAGGAAGACAAGGGAUUGUCCAGCAAGAGAUUGGGAUGUGCUUGGUGAUGGGACAAGAACACGGCGUGUACUCUAUUUACUCUGGAAUCGGCGAGACUUGCGGUUCCGGGGAUUCAUUUAUUUCCUAAGAUCUCUGCUUACAACACUCUUCACCUCCCUCUCUCGGGAGAACAUCCAC